ACGGAAGGCAGCAGUGAGGAAUAUUGGUCAAUGGUCGGAAGACUGAACCAGCCAAGUCGCGUGCAGGGAGACGGUCCUAUGGAUUGUAAACUGCUUUUGUACGGGAAUAAAGUGGGGGACGUGUCCCCCUUGGAAUGUACCGUAAGAAUAAGGGUCGGCUAACUCCGUGCCAGCAGCCGCGGUAAUACGGAUGACCCGAGCGUUAUCCGGAUUUAUUGGGUUUAAAGGGUGCGCAGGCGGAGGAUUAAGUCAGCGGUGAAAUUCUAAUGCUCAACAUGAGAACUGCCAUUGAUACUGGUCCCCUUGAGAGAUGUCGAGGAUGGCGGAAUGUGAUGUGUAGCGGUGAAAUGCGUAGAUAUGUCACAGAACACCGAUUGCGAAGGCAGCUGUCCAGAGAGCUUCUGACGCUCAGGCACGAAAGCAUGGGUAUCAAACAGGAUUAGAUACCCUGGUA
This 454-nucleotide ribosomal RNA is filed under the name uncultured Porphyromonadaceae bacterium. RNAcentral describes it as "partial 16S ribosomal RNA". It matches the Rfam family "Bacterial small subunit ribosomal RNA", at positions 341 to 792 of the family's 1533-position model. The record is from RNAcentral. Lineage: Bacteria; Pseudomonadati; Bacteroidota; Bacteroidia; Bacteroidales; Porphyromonadaceae.